UGACCCCAAACCUCUUCGGGGACGGUCAUCGUCACUGAAUCCACGGCACGCAACCCCAAUUUUGCCGAUAUACGGUCUUUUUGGCACACGGAUUCAUCCAACUCUCGACUCGCCUUUAUUGUGUGACGUCGUGGGUUUCGUGAUAUUAAUAUUCAGUUUUGGUGUAGUUAUUUAUUUGAUAAGCGGAGAAUUACGAUGUUAGCUGAUGUCGAAAACGACUUGGAGGACACUUCAUACCUCUGGAGAUGAAACUUUUUUCCACUUUUUCUUUCAUCCUGAUCUUGUACAGCCCUCAGCCUUUCUCGCUAGCACAACGACUGUUGCAUUCGAGAGCAUAUCAUUCUGACGAUGACGACGAUCAUGUCGAUUACCACUAUGAAGACAUGGACGACAAACUUCUUAAUCACAACGCUUCAGCAGAAAAAGGGCAGUAUGUGGGUGCCUUAUGCGAAUUUACCUGCAGCCCAAAAUUGCUUCACGUUUACUGCAAUCCCGUUACGGGUACUUGCGACUGUGAGAAGAAGUAUCCUGUUAAACUUAAUAAUCGCUAUGCAGGCUGUAGCAAGCCGAAACAACUGGGUGACCAAUGUUAUUACAAAGAAACCUGUCAGUUCACUGACCAACAUGCUUCCUGUAUCCAAGUCCACCACAACGCCGUUUGUCAGUGUGAAAAUGGGUACCAUACCGUUUCUUUACAGAAACCUUCGAAAAGAGUCUUCUGUGCAGAAGAUGUCGUUGUUAUAACAUCAGAUUUCUCCACUUUUGCCGGCGUAAUGUCGGGAAUCGCUAUUUUAUCCGGUCUUAUAUGUUUUGUACUGCACCUCUUCAACCAGAAUUUGUAUGGAACACGCCACAACAGGCACAGGUUCGGAAACGCCAAUCUACCACCUCCCAUCUUGUUCUCCAGCGAUCCAGGAUCGUUGCCUUUACCAAUUCUGGAUCGAAGUUCGACGUCCCGAGCAUCUAGCCAGCGAACGUACGCUAGUAUGCCGUCGCGACGGUCCAGUAGUGCGCCAGGGUUCCGUUCGGGGGCCACCUAUUCUAGAGCAGGCUCUCGUCGGCCGAGUAUAGCGUCGGUCCAUAGCGCCACUUCUAUCCGCAGCUAUAGUACUAGAAGAUACGAGAGGGAGCGGAAAGAAAAAGAGGAGAGGGAGCUAGAGCGUCGGUUUUCGAAACUAUCUAGCACGAACUCUACCAUUAGAAUUGCCCCCACACCCAGCCCCCAUUCUACCGACGAUCUGCUUCCCACUUUGGAGGAAGAUAGACCAAUGGUUAAAAUUUAUUCAUAGGUACAUUGUCACAUGCUUUCUCAAGGUCCACACAUAAAAUUGUUUAAAUAUAUUCCACCUUUAGCUACAAAAGAAGAUUCCACCACUAGCUUCCCUG
RNAcentral lists this unclassified non-coding RNA (1386 nucleotides) under Diabrotica virgifera virgifera (western corn rootworm). RNAcentral describes it as "uncharacterized LOC126884845". The record is from RNAcentral. Lineage: Eukaryota; Metazoa; Arthropoda; Insecta; Coleoptera; Chrysomelidae.